UUUUUAUUGGCCGACUGGGCACUCAGCAGGUGUGUAGCUUGGCAAGCUUUGGUGAGCCCAGGCACAGUCUUCAUUCCUGCUACUGUGACCAAUUUACCUGGGUCCACUGAACAAGCACUGAGGAGGUGAUGGAAAGAGGCAGCCUGAAAGAAACUGAAUAGAUCAUUUUGUCCACCUGGUUUUCAAGAGUUUCCAUUGAAGUGAUCUCUCUCUCCUACUCAUCCUUAUCAUCAUUUUCCAAUUUUGCUCUUGUCAAGUCUCCCUGACCAUCCAGCCAAUACUGUUAGCUCCUGACUUUGAGUCAGUAUUGGUCUAGAUCUCCACUAUUUUUCCUUUUUCAUGAAGUAGACAGUGGAUAUACUUCUCAAAGUCCUGCCCAUGAGGUGGAUUUACAUUAACCACUGUCCUUCAUGGCCUGAAGGACCCUUUGCAGAUCCCAUCUGUUACCAUGUCCAGGAAUUUUCCUCCUGUCUUGACUCAUCCCAGAGACUCCCUACAACACCAUAGAUGGAUUGAGGGAGAUGUUGAAAACAUCAGGGCAGGAACCAUGGGAAAUUGUGCUUCCUGUUUGUACCUCCCAAACAUGUUUGACUCAUCCUCACUGUAUCAUUUCCAACUUACAGUACAUAGUCAAUUUUGUGAUUUGGGGAUCAAAGAAAUCUUUAUACUUUUAAUACUUUGUAAUGUGGCCUGUAGAAUAGCCUCUUUUAAUGCUUUUAUUUACGUAUUCAUGAAAAUAUCCAUGUAAUGAUUACUUUUUAUGUUUAAAACUCUGCAUAUCAUAGGUCAUUUACAUGUGGUCACUUACUGCCCCAUGUCUGGCAUUCAGUCUCUGCUAGGACAUGGUAACAAGCCAGAAACUGUAUUUCAACUGGAGAAUCAGUCAGUAGAGAAGGUUGUGACUUGCUGAAGGCUCAUUUGCAGUACCAACCGGAAGCUGGCACCUGCAAAUUCUCCUACAGAAGAGGAAAGAGCUGCCACAGGAUUUGAAGGAUGAGAAGAGCAGGGCAUACCACCAACGAAAAAGUGCCAUCUGGGCCAGGAUCCCAGGAGAGAAGGGAAAGAGAACAAAUGGCAGAUCAAAAGUUUGGAUCAGAAACGCAUGCAGUGUUUAGAGUAGGUCUGAGCAUGGUGUGCCUUUGAUUUCAAAGACUGCUCCGUGCCUGGAUAUGUUUUGUAGACUGGGAACGUGAUGGUAACUGGCCCUAGGGAUGCACAGAGGAACACUGGGUUACCAGAGGCGAAGGCAGAGAUGACUAAGUCUGAGAAGGAAGCAUGAAGGAAAUGUUGCCUAGUAUGCUAAGGCUGGAACUCCCAUUAGCAAUUGUUCUGAGAAAGUGCCGAUGAUAUUUCGCCAUAGAGCAAGAUUUUUCAAAUUUUGUGGGCUUGGUAUUGAGUCUCUCAUGAGUUGGUGGUUUGUUAUAUUAUCUGUUAAUAAGAGAAAGGUGAAGAUUGAAUUAUCUUGCCCUUCAACCUUAUUUUAUCCCUUUGCAUUCUAGAGAGAGAACUGCAUGACUAUAAAACACAAAGGUGUUUGGCUGUCCUAAGGUUGUCCAAACUUUUGUAAUAUUCCUGAAAAUAUCAAGGUAAUGAUCAGCCUUUUAUAUUUAAAACAAGAUGUUAGAUUCAAAGUAAAAAAAAAAUCUACCAAGAACAUAAAUCAGAACAUUCAUUUUCAAAACCAAAUGAAAUAGUGCUCAAACAUGCACCCUUUUUUCCUCAGGCAAUGUCUAGAAAUACCAAGUAAGCCUAAAAUUACAAUGGCCUUAUUAGAUGCUGGUCAAAGAAGUCUCCACAGAGUCAGUACAUCUGUUCUAGCAUCUUCUAAAACCAUCAACCUUGCUGAGAAUAGUGACAAGACAGGAAAGAAAAGAAUAAUAAUAUUCUAAUGUCCUUAUGAAAAGGACAUCAUUGUCAUUCACCCCAUUGUAAUGCUUUUAUUUUUAUUUUACUGAAUAAAAAGUCAAUUAUAUUUGAUAUUAUGUCAAUCAUGCUUUCUAUCUAGAUAAUAGAUUUUUAAACUUUUAUAUUCUUUUUCAAGGGUGUACUUGGAACUCUAUAGAGCUGCCUGUAGCCAUAACUAAAUAAAAAACUUGGUUUUACAUUAAGACACUCAGAAGUUCACUUACAAGUCUUCAGAAUGCAAAGAGAGAUUAAAUUGUAUCAUGGAAAUUGUGAGACUUUUGGGUAAGAAUGGGCAAAAGGAAUAUUGCUAUUAUUUUCAGCUUUCAGGUACUGGAAAUAGUUAAAUAUUUUCAAAGUAUUUUUAAAAAGUACUCCUUGGACAACUCCAGGUAUCAAGUGUUUUCAGAAUAAACAGAAAGUUCCUGGUCUGUUUGGAACCAGGAUUUGCUGAAAACCACUUCAUCGCAUUCUGUCCAGGGAUGCCAGUGUUGACUGGAAUGCACAUUGUUAAAACUCAAUCUCUAGGAAAAGAAAUUUUAUUUUAUUAGCCGAGUUAAUGGAAAUGCUUUUGAUUCCAUUCCAGCUUUCUAGAAAUUUAUAUACUAAAUAUUUAAUAUCUUGAGCCAGUGGAUAAUUAAGAAACCCAAAUUUUAAUGUCUGCUUUUGACUGAUUUUUUUCACAGGUAAAGAAUAUACGUUUACCUUUGAGGGAAAUUCAUUUGAAGUCUCUAGAACUUCUAAGUACUUAUAAUUGUAGAUAACAAAAAUUAUUUUAGGCCAUUGCCUCCUGUGAAUUCCUGUGUUCCUGAACUGGGAAAAGAUCUAGGCCUAGGAAUAUAAAAGGUGACUCUGGACAUGCUUUGCUUGUUAGGUACUAAUAUUAGUGAAUAUUCUUCAAUCUGAUGUUUUAUAGCAAUAAAUUCACUUUCAGAGUUUUUAAUCAAAUGCUUUAUGUAUAAGUUGACAGUAGAUUAUUUUCAGUUAUUUGCUGUAGGAUAUUUCAAGAGACCUGGAGAAGUAAAAAAUGUAAAACAAUUCAAAAUCUUUAUUUAGAUUUUAUUUAUCUUUUAUGUUUACAUCCAUCACGAACAUAUGGGGUAUGCCUUAUGUUCUCAGAAUUUACCUCAAACAAAAUAAUGAAAUUCUGUGGAAUCUAGAGCAAAUAGAAAUCUUUCUAUGUAUGUCAUUUUCUAUUUUAUUAUCCAUAAAAAUCUGUAUUUAUGCUAUAAAUAAAUCCAUUUCUGAUCACGUGAAAUAUUUGGUGUCAUAAGUAUGGCAAAUAAAUCAUAAACUGA
Marmota monax (woodchuck) is the source of this 3200-nucleotide long non-coding RNA. RefSeq lists it as uncharacterized. The transcript has 2 exons. The record is from RefSeq and is a predicted model, not a curated record. Lineage: Eukaryota; Metazoa; Chordata; Mammalia; Rodentia; Sciuridae.